This 981-nucleotide ribosomal RNA is filed under the name uncultured bacterium. RNAcentral describes it as "bacterial SSU rRNA". It matches the Rfam family "Bacterial small subunit ribosomal RNA", at positions 8 to 1035 of the family's 1533-position model. The record is from RNAcentral.
AGAGUUUGAUCCUGGCUCAGGAUGAACGCUGGCGGCGUGCUUAACACAUGCAAGUCGAACGAACCUUCAGGUUAGUGGCGGACGGGUGAGUAACGCGUGAGAAUCUGCCCUCAGGAGGGGGAUAACGGCUGGAAACGGCCGCUAAUACCCCAUAUGCCGAGAGGUGAAAUGAAUUUCGCCUGAGGAUGAGCUCGCGUCUGAUUAGCUAGUUGGUGGGGUAAAGGCCUACCAAGGCGACGAUCAGUAGCUGGUCUGAGAGGAUGAUCAGCCACACUGGGACUGAGACACGGCCCAGACUCCUACGGGAGGCAGCAGUGGGGAAUUUUCCGCAAUGGGCGAAAGCCUGACGGAGCAACGCCGCGUGAGGGAUGAAGGCCUCUGGGCUGUAAACCUCUUUUAUCAAGGAAGAAGAUCUGACGGUACUUGAUGAAUAAGCCACGGCUAAUUCCGUGCCAGCAGCCGCGGUAAUACGGGAGUGGCAAGCGUUAUCCGGAAUUAUUGGGCGUAAAGCGUCCGCAGGCGGUCUUGAAAGUCUGUUGUUAAAGCGUGGAGCUUAACUCCAUUUCAGCAAUGGAAACUACAAGACUAGAGUGUGGUAGGGGCAGAGGGAAUUCCCGGUGUAGCGGUGAAAUGCGUAGAUAUCGGGAAGAACACCAGUGGCGAAGGCGCUCUGCUGGGCCAUAACUGACGCUCAUGGACGAAAGCCAGGGGAGCGAAAGGGAUUAGAUACCCCUGUAGUCCUGGCCGUAAACGAUGAACACUAGGUGUCGGGGGAAUCGACCCCCUCGGUGUCGUAGCCAACGCGUUAAGUGUUCCGCCUGGGGAGUACGCACGCAAGUGUGAAACUCAAAGGAAUUGACGGGGGCCCGCACAAGCGGUGGAGUAUGUGGUUUAAUUCGAUGCAACGCGAAGAACCUUACCAGGGUUUGACAUCCUGCGAAUCCCUUGGAAACUUGGGAGUGCCUUCGGGAACGCAGUGAC